This is a small nucleolar RNA of 92 nucleotides. It matches the Rfam family "A. fumigatus snoRNA Afu_264". The record is from Rfam.
UCCCCUGAUGAUCACAACCAUACAUUACUUUUUUCUGGUACCUCUUAUGUUAGGACUCGCAAGAGUCCCAUGAAUUUAAAGGACUUCUGACC